GUUUAUAGCAACCUCUGCCCAUAACUGUUACCUGCCACAAAAAUUAGGAGCCAGUCUGUACCAAGAUGAGAUACCUACAGUUCAAGAAGUCCUGCAUGCCAAAGAACAUGUCAACAGGCAUAGAGAAACUCAAGCUGGUUGCUUCCAUCUGACUCCCCUUCCAUUGCUAAUACAUCCUCCAAUGCCAAAGACCAGAAGACCUCUGCUAGGAACACUUCCGAAUAGCAAAAGUAGUCUGCCUCCUUCCAGCACCCCUCUUCCACCAAAAUUUCUCUCUUCUCUCCUGGCCGUGAAGAUCCUAUCCUCUGCUUCAUACUCCAGUGCCAAGCCCCAGUGAACCAAGGUUGAGAAGACGUAGUAGGUUUCCAAGGACAUCAAAGCUUACCCAGUGCUUGGUUCACUAGUAUGGGAGUGGCUGAGAGAACAAUCAUGGAAUUCUGCCUUUCACCUUGGAAACAGAAUAUUACAGACCAUGUAAAGCCAAAUGAACAGAGGGAAUCAAAGGAAAUGCAUCCCGUGCUGUCCCUUUAAAUGGGUCUGACUUACCUGUGCCCCACAGAGGGCAAGGAAAGCACACAACUGGCAGCAACAUACCUCAAGAUUUUCCUGUAAUGUCCUCUCACAUGCUUGCUAAUGACAUUUACUUAGAUCCUCCUCUUUGUUUCUGGAUUCUCAUUCAAUUACAUUGAGCACCACAUCAUGUCCUUCCAUUGCCCCCCGCUACCCGCACAUACACCACCUGCCUCCAUCUUUCAGGUCAUAGGGACUUAAAAAAGUUGGGCUGGCCUUGCUCUUCCCUCCUAAGCUUUUUUGUCACAGGUAGAAAUUGAAAAUAUAGAACUUUAAGACUAUGCUUAGUAUGAGCAAGAUUCUUCCUGCCCAGUUUAAUAUCUUAGAUUCAGGGUAGUUUUGUAUUGUGUCUAUGAAUUCCAGGAAAGACCUAAACCACAAAGGAACUAAUUUCCUCAUAUCCAGGAAGGCUAAGCUCUCUUAUGGCCGCAAUUAAAAUCCAUCUGUGUUCCUCUAUUAAUGUGGAUCCAGUGUGUAGGACUCCUUGAAAUAACUUUACACUAUCCAAGGCUGGCACUUGGCACAGCCAAAGAGGCUCAUUGAUUGAACGAGCCUGAAUCUCCAGCUAGAUCUGGAUAACAAACCUCUUCUGUCUCCAGGCUGGACUUCCAACUUCUCUGAUUAUUUUCCAGAUCCCUGACACAAGAAAUGCACAGGAGAAUGGAGAGACACAUAGAUUUAAGGAAAAGAUGUCAACUGGGGAGGCGGAUAGUCAGGACUGCCAGUGUGUCAGUGCCUCCUGUCCCUGACUAUCCCCGGUACAGUCAUCACCCCCGACAAUGUGAAGGCAACUGCCCUACAACUCACAGAAGAAGAAGAAGAAGAAAGAAUGGCCAAUAAACGUGUGAAAAUAUAUCAAAUUCAUUAGUAAUCGGGCAAAUAAAACAUCAGUGACGUACCAUUUCAUAUCCAUCAGAUUGGCAAAAAUUUUGAAGUCUGAUGACACUAAGUAGGGGAAACAAGAACUUUCAGCCCCUGCUGGGGGACGUGUAAAUUAAUAGAACCACAUCAGAGAGCAACUUGUCAAUCUUGAAUGAAGUGGAAGAUUUAUGAUAUUCUAUGACCCAGAAAUUCUGCCUCUACGUAUAUCCCUAGAGAAACUCUCCCACAUGUAUUUCAAGGAUGUUAUUUGAAGUGUUGUGUUAUAAUAGGGAAAAAUUAGAAACAUAGGUGUACAUUAAUAAGAGAAUGGAUAAAUAAAUUCACAUAUAUUCAAACGAUGCCAUACUGUGUAGCAGUGAAGUCAAUAAACUUGAUAUAUCAACAUAGAUAGAUUCCAAAAACAAAAUGUUCAGCGAGAAAAGCAAGUUGGGGAUGAGAUGCCAUAUAGUAUGACAAC
This is a long non-coding RNA of Equus caballus (horse), 1909 nucleotides long. The record is from Ensembl. NCBI's taxonomy places the organism in Eukaryota, Metazoa, Chordata, Mammalia, Perissodactyla, Equidae.